RNAcentral lists this ribosomal RNA (200 nucleotides) under Dictyocoela berillonum. Its description in RNAcentral is "partial small subunit ribosomal RNA". It matches the Rfam family "Microsporidia small subunit ribosomal RNA", at positions 55 to 211 of the family's 1311-position model. The record is from RNAcentral. Lineage: Eukaryota; Fungi; Microsporidia.
GUGUAAGCGAAGCGUAACGUGGAGCGGUGAAAGGCUCAGUAACGGGCGAGUUAUUUGUUCUCCUGGGACGGACAACACCGGGAAACUGGUGGGAAAACGUCUAAGUUGCGGUUUUUUAAUCGUGGCGUAAACCAUUUGGUGCAGGAGAGUAAGCUGCCAUCCUAUCAGUUAGUAAGUAGGGUAAGGGCCUACUUAGACGA